AUACGGAGGAUCCGAGCGUUAUCCGGAUUUAUUGGGUUUAAAGGGUGCGUAGGCGGCCUUUUAAGUCAGCGGUGAAAGUCUGUGGCUCAACCAUAGAAUUGCCGUUGAAACUGGGAGGCUUGAGUAUGUUUGAGGCAGGCGGCAUGCGUUGUGUAGCGGUGAAAUGCUUAGAUAUUACGAAGAACCCCGGUUGCGAAGGCUGCCUGCCAAGCCAUGACUGACGCUGAUGCACGAAAGCGUGGGGAUCAAACAGGAUUAGAUACCCUGGUAGUCCACGCAGUAAACGAUGAUCACUAGCUGUUUGCGAUACACUGUAAGCGGCACAGCGAAAGCGUUAAGUGAUCCACCUGGGGAGUACGCCGGCAACGGUGAAACUCAAAGGAAUUGACGGGG
This 393-nucleotide ribosomal RNA is filed under the name uncultured bacterium. Its description in RNAcentral is "partial 16S ribosomal RNA". It matches the Rfam family "Bacterial small subunit ribosomal RNA", at positions 523 to 918 of the family's 1533-position model. The record is from RNAcentral.